CCUACGGGAGGCAGCAGUGGGGAAUUUUGGACAAUGGGCGCAACCCUGAUCCAGCAAUGCCGCGUGCAGGAAGAAGGCCUUCGGGUUGUAAACUKCUUUURUACGGAAAGAAACGGUCUGGGUUAAUACCUCGGGCUAAUGACGGUACCGUAAGAAUAAGCACCG
This 165-nucleotide ribosomal RNA is filed under the name uncultured bacterium. RNAcentral's name for it is "partial 16S ribosomal RNA". It matches the Rfam family "Bacterial small subunit ribosomal RNA", at positions 338 to 495 of the family's 1533-position model. The record is from RNAcentral.